This is a non-coding RNA of Alligator mississippiensis (American alligator), 68 nucleotides long. The record is from the annotation of a RefSeq genome assembly. NCBI's taxonomy places the organism in Eukaryota, Metazoa, Chordata, Crocodylia, Alligatoridae.
GUAAGUAUAGUUUAAACAAAACAUUAGAAUGUGAACCUAAAAAUAGGAGACUACUUCCCCUUACUCAC